RNAcentral lists this ribosomal RNA (440 nucleotides) under uncultured bacterium. RNAcentral describes it as "bacterial SSU rRNA". It matches the Rfam family "Bacterial small subunit ribosomal RNA", at positions 338 to 795 of the family's 1533-position model. The record is from RNAcentral.
CCUACGGGAGGCAGCAGUGGGGAAUAUUGCACAAUGGAGGGAACUCUGAUGCAGCGACGCCGCGUGAGUGAUGAAGGCUUUCGAGUCGUAAAACUCUGUCCUUGGGGACGAUAAUGACGGUACCCAAGGAGGAAGCCACGGCUAACUACGUGCCAGCAGCCGCGGUAAUACGUAGGUGGCAAGCGUUGUCCGGAAUUACUGGGUGUAAAGGGCGUGUAGGCGGGAAGGCAAGUCAGAUGUGAAAGCCCAUGGCUUAACUGUGGAAUUGCAUCUGAAACUGUUUUUCUUGAGUGCUGGAGAGGAAAGUGGAAUUCCUAGUGUAGCGGUGAAAUGCGUAGAGAUUAGGAGGAACACCAGUGGCGAAGGCGACUCUCUGGUCUGUAACUGACGCUGAGGAGCGAAAGCGUGGGGAGCGAACAGGAUUAGAUACCCCUGUAGUC